CCUCUAACAGACCUUAUUAAAGCAAAAUCCCCAGUCAUAGUUAAAUGGUGCCCUGAGGCAGAAAAGGCUUUUAAGAGUCUGAAGGAAGCUAUCUGUAGCCAUCCUGUCCUGGUGACCCCAGGGACUUUAUAGUUCAGACAGAUGCUUCUGAUGUUGGCUUGGGGGCUGUUCUUUCACAGGAAUGCCAGGAUGAAGAACACCCUGUUUUUUUUUU
Molecule: non-coding RNA, 214 nt
Organism: Pelobates cultripes (western spadefoot toad)
Lineage: Eukaryota; Metazoa; Chordata; Amphibia; Anura; Pelobatidae
Source: the annotation of a GenBank genome assembly